RNAcentral lists this transfer RNA (83 nucleotides) under chicken gut metagenome. It matches the Rfam family "tRNA". From Rfam's summary of the family: Transfer RNA (tRNA) molecules are approximately 80 nucleotides in length. Their secondary structure includes four short double-helical elements and three loops (D, anti-codon, and T loops). The record is from RNAcentral.
GAGAGUUGGCUGAGCGGUCGAAAGCGGUGGUCUUGAAAACCAUUGAAGUGAAAGCUUCCGUGGGUUCGAAUCCUACACUCUCC